This 253-nucleotide ribosomal RNA is filed under the name uncultured bacterium. RNAcentral describes it as "partial 16S ribosomal RNA". It matches the Rfam family "Bacterial small subunit ribosomal RNA", at positions 524 to 776 of the family's 1533-position model. The record is from RNAcentral.
UACGGAGGGGGCUAGCGUUGUUCGGAAUUACUGGGCGUAAAGCGCGCGCAGGCGGCUUCUUAAGUCUGAUGUGAAAUCUUGCGGCUCAACCGCAAGCGGUCAUUGGAAACUGGGAGGCUUGAGUGCAGAAGAGGAGAGUGGAAUUCCACGUGUAGCGGUGAAAUGCGUAGAGAUGUGGAGGAACACCAGUGGCGAAGGCGGCUCUCUGGUCUGUAACUGACGCUGAGGCGCGAAAGCGUGGGGAGCAAACAGG